UUUCUGUAGGUGAACCUGCGGAAGGAUCAUUACAGAGUUCAUGCCCUCACGGGUAGAUCUCCCACCCUUGAAUAUUUAUACCUUAGUUGCUUUGGCAGGCCGUGGAAACACCAUGGGCUCCGGCCUAUGCGUGCCUGCCAGAGGAAACAAACUCUGUUUUUAGUGAUGUCUGAGUACUAUAUAAUAGUUAAAACUUUCAACAACGGAUCUCUUGGUUCUG
This 220-nucleotide unclassified non-coding RNA is filed under the name plant metagenome. RNAcentral describes it as "partial contains small subunit ribosomal RNA, internal transcribed spacer 1, and 5.8S ribosomal RNA". The record is from RNAcentral.